GAUGAACGCUGGCGGCGUGCCUAAUACAUGCAAGUCGAGCGAACGGACGAGAAGCUUGCUUUUCUGAUGUUAGCGGCGGACGGGUGAGUAACACGUGGAUAACCUACCUAUAAGACUGGGAUAACUUCGGGAAACCGGAGCUAAUACCGGAUAAUAUUUUGAACCGCAUGGUUCAAAAGUGAAAGACGGUCUUGCUGUCACUUAUAGAUGGAUCCGCGCUGCAUUAGCUAGUUGGUAAGGUAACGGCUUACCAAGGCAACGAUGCAUAGCCGACCUGAGAGGGUGGUCGGCCAAACUGGAACUGGAACACGGCCCAGACCCUUAGGGGGGGCAACAGUAGGGAAUUUUCCCCAUGGGGGGAAAGCCGCACGGAGCAACCCCGGGGGAGGGAAGAAGGUCUUGGGUUCGUAAAACCCUUUUUUUAGGGAAGAAAAUAUGUGUAAGGAACUGUGACCAUCUUGCCGGUACCAAAUCAAAAAGCCAAGCCUAACUACGG
Molecule: ribosomal RNA, 496 nt
Filed under: uncultured bacterium
Lineage: Bacteria
Description: partial 16S ribosomal RNA
Rfam family: Bacterial small subunit ribosomal RNA
Source: RNAcentral